RNAcentral lists this ribosomal RNA (115 nucleotides) under Danio rerio (zebrafish). Lineage: Eukaryota; Metazoa; Chordata; Actinopteri; Cypriniformes; Danionidae. The record is from RNAcentral.
GCCGGCAGCUAGUUCUUUGCAAUUUUCACAUGGUCGCCCGCUGACGCUAAGCAGGGCUGUGCCUGGUCAGUACCUGGAUGGGAGACCACAUGGGAAAGCUAGGUUGCUGCCGGAA